CAAGGCUUGACAUACACCGGAAAGCAUCAGAGAUGGUGCCCCCCUUGUGGUCGGUGUACAGGUGGUGCAUGGCUGUCGUCAGCUCGUGUCGUGAGAUGUUGGGUUAAGUCCCGCAACGAGCGCAACCCUUGUCCCGUGUUGCCAGCAAGCCCUUCGGGGUGUUGGGGACUCACGGGAGACCGCCGGGGUCAACUCGGAGGAAGGUGGGGACGACGUCAAGUCAUCAUGCCCCUUAUGUCUUGGGCUGCACACGUGCUACAAUGGCCGGUACAAUGAGCUGCGAUACCGCAAGGUGGAGCGAAUCUCAAAAAGCCGGUCUCAGUUCGGAUUGGGGUCUGCAACUCGACCCCAUGAAGUCGGAGUCGCUAGUAAUCGCAGAUCAGCAUUGCUGCGGUGAAUA
RNAcentral lists this ribosomal RNA (400 nucleotides) under uncultured Actinomycetes bacterium. Its description in RNAcentral is "bacterial SSU rRNA". It matches the Rfam family "Bacterial small subunit ribosomal RNA", at positions 975 to 1368 of the family's 1533-position model. Lineage: Bacteria; Bacillati; Actinomycetota; Actinomycetes. The record is from RNAcentral.